UGGGGUGUCGAGCCGUCGACCCUCUCGGAGAAGGUCGGUCCUGAACUCCACCCUUGAAUAAAUUACCUUUGUUGCUUUGGCGGGCCGCCUCGCGCCAGCGGCUUCGGCUGUUGAGUGCCCGCCAGAGGACCACAACUCUUGUUUUUAGUGAUGUCUGAGUACUAUAUAAUAGUUAAAACUUUCAACAACGGAUCUCUUGGUUCUGGCAUCGAUGAAGAACGCAGCGAAAUGCGAUAAGUAAUGUGAAUUGCAGAAUUCAGUGAAUCAUCGAAUCUUUGAACGCACAUUGCGCCCUCUGGUAUUCCGGGGGGCAUGCCUGUUCGAGCGUCAUUAUAACCACUCAAGCUCUCGCUUGGUAUUGGGGUUCGCGGUUCCGCGGCCCCUAAAAUCAGUGGCGGUGCCUGUCGGCUCUACGCGUAGUAAUACUCCUCGCGUCUGGGUCCGGUAGGUCUACUUGCCAGCAACCCCCAA
This 471-nucleotide ribosomal RNA is filed under the name Cadophora malorum. Its description in RNAcentral is "eukaryotic LSU rRNA". The stretch from base 177 to 330 matches the Rfam family "5.8S ribosomal RNA". Lineage: Eukaryota; Fungi; Ascomycota; Leotiomycetes; Helotiales; Ploettnerulaceae. The record is from RNAcentral.